RNAcentral lists this ribosomal RNA (485 nucleotides) under uncultured bacterium. RNAcentral describes it as "partial 16S ribosomal RNA". It matches the Rfam family "Bacterial small subunit ribosomal RNA", at positions 28 to 523 of the family's 1533-position model. The record is from RNAcentral.
GACGAACGCUGGCGGCGUGCUUAACACAUGCAAGUCGAACGGGAUCCAUGGAGUAGCAAUACUCCGGAAGAUCUAGUGGCGAACGGGUGAGGAACACGUGAAGAACCUGCCCUGAACUCUGGGAUAACAGUUGGAAACGACUGCUAAUACCGGAUGUCGUUGUCGGAGUCGCAUGGCUCUACAACGAAAGUUUUUCGGUUCAGGAGGGCUUCGCGGCCUAUCAGCUAGUUGGUGAGGUAAUGGCUCACCAAGGCAUCGACGGGUAGCUGGUCUGAGAGGAUGAUCAGCCACACUGGGACUGAGACACGGCCCAGACUCCUACGGGAGGCAGCAGUGGGGAAUCUUGCGCAAUGGGCGAAAGCCUGACGCAGCAACGCCGCGUGCGGGAAGAAGGCUUUAGGGUUGUAAACCGCUUUCAGCAGGGAAGAAAAUGACGGUACCUGCAGAAGAAGGUGCGGCCAACUACGUGCCAGCAGCCGCCGUAA